Molecule: long non-coding RNA, 643 nt
Organism: Spinacia oleracea (spinach)
Lineage: Eukaryota; Viridiplantae; Streptophyta; Magnoliopsida; Caryophyllales; Amaranthaceae
Exons: 2
Source: RefSeq, a predicted model, not a curated record
GAGUGGAACGAUAUCGACCCAGGUGCAUGACAUGCGUCUUCUAGCUGCUACAGAGUCCUACACUACUUUUCUUUUUUUUUGUUAAUCAGCGUUGUGGGACCUCUUCUCUGUGCAUCAUGCACAAAAUUAAAACAACAUUCAAUAUUUGGAAUUUUUCAUAUUUCAGCAACUUUUGAAUCAAGCCUUCCCAACACGGUUAGUGACCUAGCGGUUAUCCACCUAUAUACGGAGUAUCUUCUUACUUCUGCCAUUCAUCUUUUCUUCAAUUUCUUGCUUGAUCUCUUCAUUUCUGGUUUUCAGAUGCAAGCAUGGAUACAUCAACACAUGAUGCAGCUGCAUCAAACAUCAACAAACACAACAAACACAGCAACAAACACAGCAGUGCCUUGCUUGCUGCUUUGAUGACUCAACUGCUCCAACUUAAAGAUCGAAGUACACAGAUUGCUGACAUGUAAUCAUUGUACAUGGAUUGCUGACAUGUACUAAGUAGUUAGUUACAAGCAGUAGGUUGUUAUAACUAACUUUGGUCAUUCUGAUCAAAGCAUCUUGUAUCCUAUGCAUCUAGUAUAAAAGCAAAGUUGAUUGAUAGCUUUUUGUAGUUUGUAAUAAGAGUUAAUUCUCUCAAUAAAACUCUCUCCCUCUC